Molecule: long non-coding RNA, 427 nt
Organism: Poecilia latipinna (sailfin molly)
Lineage: Eukaryota; Metazoa; Chordata; Actinopteri; Cyprinodontiformes; Poeciliidae
Exons: 2
Source: RefSeq, a predicted model, not a curated record
AUGAAGUUUAUUCAUUCUUUUCACCCUCCGCGAUGAAAUGCUGUGUGUGCGGGAUGUUUAAUCUUUACUACAAGGACGGUUAGUGUUAUUAAAAAAUACAACCAAUAUAUGACUUCCGCCGACCCCGGCGAUUUUUUAAAAUUUAAAACAAGCAGCUGGUUCGAACUUAUAACACGUUGCUGACAGGUGUUAAAAUAAGGUGUCUUCUGUUUUUUUUCUCUCUCUCUCUCUAUCGCUCUCUCUCUCUCUCUCUCUGUGUGUCUAGCUGUCUUGCUAGCUAGCUAGAUAAAUAGACCGAAAGCUAGUUAGCUAAAUUUCUUGAUAGCCAACAUGUUAUCAAGCUAGCUAGUUAGAUAAAUAGAUAGAAAGCUACUUAUCAAUCUUUCUUGAUAGCCAACAUUUUAUUUAUUUAUCUAGCUAGCUAGCU